Molecule: ribosomal RNA, 119 nt
Organism: Lepisosteus oculatus (spotted gar)
Lineage: Eukaryota; Metazoa; Chordata; Actinopteri; Semionotiformes; Lepisosteidae
Source: Ensembl
GCCAGCAGCCAUAUCACUCUGCAACUCACAACUAGCAACCCACUGAAGCUAAGCAGGUGUGAGCCUGGUCAGUACCUGGAUGGGAGACCUCCUGGGAAAAACUAAGGUUGCUGCUGGAA